This 477-nucleotide ribosomal RNA is filed under the name uncultured bacterium. RNAcentral describes it as "partial 16S ribosomal RNA". It matches the Rfam family "Bacterial small subunit ribosomal RNA", at positions 28 to 507 of the family's 1533-position model. The record is from RNAcentral.
GAUUAACGCUGGCGGCGUGCAUAACACAUGCAAGUCGAACGAUGAAACUUUAAUGAACUCUUCGGGGAGAAUUAAAGCGGAUUAGUGGCGAACGGGUGAGUAACGCGUGCGUAUCCUGCCUUACUCACGGGGAUAGCCUUUGGAAACGAAGAAUAAUACCCUAUAAAACAAUACAAGCACAUGCAAUUCUUGUCAAAGUGAUAGCGGUGUAAGGUGGACUUGCGUCUGAUUAGCUAGUUGGUGAGCUAAAAGCCCACCAAGGCAACGAUCAGUAGCCGGCUCGAGAGAGUGUACGGCCACAUUGGGACUGAGACAAGGCCCAGACACCGGCGAGAGGCAGCAGUGGGGAAUUUUGCACAAUGGGGGAAACCCUGAUGCAGCGACGCCGCGUGAUUUAGAAGGCCUUCGGGUUGUAAAAAUCUUUUGUAUAGGAAGAAAAUGACAGUACUAUAAGAAUAAGGACCGGCUAAUUACGUG